This 427-nucleotide ribosomal RNA is filed under the name uncultured bacterium. Its description in RNAcentral is "bacterial SSU rRNA". It matches the Rfam family "Bacterial small subunit ribosomal RNA", at positions 355 to 774 of the family's 1533-position model. The record is from RNAcentral.
UGGGGAAUUUUGGACAAUGGGCGCAAGCCUGAUCCAGCCAUGCCGCGUGGGUGAAGAAGGCCUUCGGGUUGUAAAGCCCUUUCGGCCGGGAAGAAAACGUGCGGGCGAACAGUCUGCAUGGAUGACGGUACCGGAAGAAGAAGCACCGGCUAACUACGUGCCAGCAGCCGCGGUAAUACGUAGGGUGCGAGCGUUAAUCGGAAUUAUUGGGCGUAAAGCGUGCGCAGGCGGCGCCAUAAGACAGCUGUGAAAUCCCCGGGCUUAACCUGGGAACUGCGGUUGUGACUGUGGUGCUAGAGUACGGCAGAGGGAGGUGGAAUUCCUGGUGUAGCAGUGAAAUGCGUAGAGAUCAGGAGGAACCCCGAUGGCGAAGGCAGCCUCCUGGGCUGAUACUGACGCUCAUGCACGAAAGCGUGGGGAGCAAACA